Molecule: unclassified non-coding RNA, 822 nt
Filed under: Tomato bushy stunt virus satellite RNA B1
Description: B1 satellite RNA
Rfam family: Tombusvirus 5' UTR (bases 222-349)
Source: RNAcentral
NAAAUUCUCUGGCUUUGAUGCCGAUGCCCAUCACUGGGGUUGAGGGUUUCUCUCUAUGUUCUUUGCACAACUGUGCACUAGAUUUAACAGUACCAUGUACUUAAACACUCCCACCACACCUGGUGGAUUGGGAUAGUCAUGGCCUAACUUGUUCUGGAGUACAUAUGUGGCAUGAUGAUUUGCGUACGUGUUAUUUCUAGGUGAGUAUGGUAACAUACAUAUAACUCUAGUUGAACUCUGAAUCCUGAGAACUUAGUUACACUCUCCGGAAGAAGACAUAGGGUUUUGAAGGUGGGGCCUACCAAUUCUGUUUGGGGGUAAAUUGUAACUUCCCACAAUUGUGACGAUAGCAGGUAAUGAUCAAUAGAGAUUGAAGGAUGAAGAAUCUUGGCGGCGGCGAGGAGCUUAGCUAGCCAUUACGGGAUUCCUCGGGACUACGGUCUAUUCUCUAGGGUCUAUCAUUGCGCUGUUACCCGGCCAUCGUAUACUUGAGCAGACGUCCUGUCGGACCUGAUAUCUACGGAUUGACUGAAAGACAUGAUGGCGAGCCUAACCAAACUUCAAGGAGAAAUCUUGUUUGGGUUGCGAGGUGAGCGUAUCCUUGUGAAUCACUUGUAGAGUGUGGUGAGAAGCCACUAGGACUAUAACAUAGCCGAAUGCGGGUUUUACUCAGUAGGCUAGUCUGAGGGUGUAAGCAAGGGUCAGUAGCGAUGUGGCAUGGCGGAAGGUUGCCGGGGGGGGGGUCUGUGUGAACAACUAGCACACUAACCGAAUUGUUGUUAUAUCAAUUCCUGUCGUUAAAUUAAUUUUAUUAGACAGCCC